Molecule: ribosomal RNA, 425 nt
Filed under: uncultured Actinomycetes bacterium
Lineage: Bacteria; Bacillati; Actinomycetota; Actinomycetes
Description: bacterial SSU rRNA
Rfam family: Bacterial small subunit ribosomal RNA
Source: RNAcentral
AACGCGAAGAACCUUACCUGGGCUUGACAUUUAGGGAAAAGCCGUAGAGAUACGGUGUCCUUCGGGGUCCUAAACAGGUGGUGCAUGGCUGUCGUCAGCUCGUGUCGUGAGAUGUUGGGUUAAGUCCCGCAACGAGCGCAACCCUUGUCCGAUGUUACCAGCGGGUUAUGCCGGGGACUCGUCGGAGACUGCCGGGGUCAACUCGGAGGAAGGUGGGGAUGACGUCAAGUCAUCAUGCCCCUUACGUCCAGGGCUGCACACAUGCUACAAUGGCCGGUACAACGGGCUGCUAUCCCGCGAGGGGGAGCCAAUCCCAAAAGCCGGUCUCAGUUCGGAUUGCAGUCUGCAACUCGACUGCAUGAAGUCGGAGUCGCUAGUAAUCCCGAAUCAGCAACGUCGGGGUGAAUACGUUCCCGGGCCUUGUA